This 715-nucleotide long non-coding RNA is filed under the name Prunus persica (peach). RNAcentral describes it as "long non-coding RNA (PPER_LNC005637)". The record is from RNAcentral. Lineage: Eukaryota; Viridiplantae; Streptophyta; Magnoliopsida; Rosales; Rosaceae.
GAAACGAAAGAAAACAAAUUGGAGAGUUGUUUUUAGUAGUUAAAAUAAUAUCUAAUCAAAUAACAACAAUAAUGAAAGGUCUUAUUAGCUGCCUCUUCAAAUAAAAUGCACAAUGUGCUCCUUUCAAUUUUGUUUUAUUUUAAAAAGGAGUGGCAUUAUUAUCAUUCCACGCAGAUAUCUACUCCGCUUUUUCUUUUCUUUUGUAAAUAAUAAAAAAUAAAUAGUAUUUUAUUCAACUCAUCUGAAAAAUAUUCUUAAAAUACUUCUAACAACUUUUUUUUUUUUUACUUUUCUUAUUAUUUCAAUUUUUUAUUUUUUUUAUGAAGGAACAUGCCACUUGCUUGUUACUCCUUUUGUUACUUGUUGGUUUUGUAGUACAAUUAAAAGUUACACAUUUCCACGUUUGGAAUUCGACCGGGAUCGAAUCAUCGUACAAUUACUUAAAAAGUAACAAUCACUCAAUCCAAUUUCAAUGAAUUGGUAUUGAAAUUCAAAUAUAAAGUCAAGUGGGAUUAGUUUUAAAAAAAAAAAAAUUUUAAAAGCCCCAACUCCCCGGUAUUUUGGAGCCCUUGUAAUUGGGCAAGAAUAGUGUUGUUGGAAAUGGACAUAUGCAAUUAUGCAUGAAGAAAAAAAAAAUUGCAGGCUUCAAUAAUGGAAUAGAGGUUGGGGGGUGCUUGGGCACCACCACCAAUUUGUUGCCAUUAAGGGAAAGAUU